GGGGGUGAACGGUUUCGACUUCGGACGUUGAGUCAGGAGAAGCGUGCAGGUGCAGGCGGGAGACCACCUUGAGCGUCGCCGCACAUCAAUAAGCGCCGACAACAAGAGUCGCGCCGAGUACGCCCUCGCUGCCUGAGCGAGGAAUUACUCUGUCGGACCGGGAACGCCUCCGUCCCGGACCCCGGCAUCAGCUAGGAGGCUCAACUACCAGGUUUGGCCGCGGGGCCUGGUAGGACACUUACAGCGGCUGGGCUCGUCACACCGGCUUGUCCGUGAGACCGGUGGAGCCGAGUAGAGACAAGACGGACUGCGCACGGAGAAGUCCUGAUGAGGCGACGGAGGACCCGGGUUCGAUUCCCGGCACCUCCACGU
This is a non-coding RNA of Actinoalloteichus hoggarensis, 372 nucleotides long. It matches the Rfam family "transfer-messenger RNA". From Rfam's summary of the family: Bacterial tmRNA, also known as 10Sa RNA or SsrA, is named for its dual tRNA and mRNA-like properties. Its role is to liberate the mRNA from a stalled ribosome. To accomplish this part of the tmRNA is used as a reading frame that ends in a translation stop signal. The record is from Rfam. NCBI's taxonomy places the organism in Bacteria, Bacillati, Actinomycetota, Actinomycetes, Pseudonocardiales, Pseudonocardiaceae.